Long non-coding RNA from Cyprinus carpio carpio, 1772 nucleotides. NCBI's taxonomy places the organism in Eukaryota, Metazoa, Chordata, Actinopteri, Cypriniformes, Cyprinidae. The record is from Ensembl.
UUUGUGACGAGUGGUUCAGAGUUUCAAAAAGCUCCGUUUCACCCAUCAAUAACUUACGUGCUUAAUGCAGUAUUUGCUAGUGAAUAGCUUAAAACAAAUGACUGAAGUCACGAGUUUGAGUUUGAAUCAAUCGGAGUGGUUCCAGCGGAAAUGACUCACUCAGUUGAAUCGGUUUGUCUGUUCCUCCGCUUUUCGCGCGUUCAGCCAUGUUUAUGCUACAACCUCAGUACAACUGCUGGCUUAAAGCGCUAGUUUUAUUCGAUUAAUUGAAAUAAGCAAAAAAGUAUGGUGUUUACAAAUAACAUCUAUAUUUCCAUUCUGAAGAUAACUGCUUUCCACGUCGAAGACAUCCAACACAAAUCAUUUUCAGAUACAGUGAUAGUUGAUGUAGAAAGAGCAAAUGGGAGAAGCAGAUGAACACAGAACAGAUGCACAGUGCUGUCUGUUCAUUAAGGUUUCUGAGUGUAUCUACUCAUGGAUUACUAUGUCGUUGGAGAUCUGCAGACAUUGCUGAGUAAGUUCGGUGAUGGUAUCCUCAGUUCUACCUGUUGAGAUGGUGAUGGCCCUCGAUUUAGUCCACAGACUAAAUGAAAGUCUCAUUCACCGGCACAAAGACAAAGCGGGCGGCGUGUGAUAAACGAUGAUUAGCGUGAGAGGUGAGCGGCAGACGGGUGACGGACAGAAACAAGGCCAGGAAUGCCAACAGCCUUCGGGCGCCGUUGCCAGGGUCGAACCUCUGCCUCAGGCUGCCAAUCAAACGUCCCGUGUAAGAACCCGAUAAGACCGGCACCCACUGAUCAUCUGGAUUUAAAUGAAAAUGAAAUUUCCCCAAACUGGUCCUCAACAUCAUAUUCAGCUCUCUUUGUUUCUAUGACAUAUUCACGAAGUCUUGCAAUGUAGUGGCUUCUCAUUAAAGUCUGCUAUAGUUCACCUCUAAACUUGGUGUAGCUCAGGAAAGUGCAACAGUGACACAGUAAAGAGCGGAUGGUACAUGACAGAUAAACUGAUGGAGCUUAAUCAUGGUAGAUUGAAAGGGACCAGUUUUAAAAUUAAGUAAAUGAUGAAAAUGUUUAUUUUAAUAUGCAGUUGGCUCCCUUUCUGUUUCAUAAAUAGAUAGAUAAUCUAUAUAUCUGUCUGUCUGUUUAUCUAUCUAUCAGACAUGGUUACAAAGCAACUUCUUGCAGAGAGAAUCAGAGAAAGUCAGAUAUAAAGCCCUUAAAGAACCAACAUACAGUAUAUUAGUAAAAUGGCAAGUAGAAUGUCAAAAUAACAAAUUAUUUUAAAUAAAUCCUGUUUUUGGAAAAAGAAGCAUCUAGCGUUUUAAAUCAAGACACGACCAAGUUGUGUUGGAUAGAUCAUACUAGACUGACUCAUGGGCAUUUAUUGAAGAGUGAAGGAAGAAGAACCAAAAUGUCAAUAGUGUAGCACCGGCUUGUCUAUAAAACUUGUAUUUUUGGUCUAAUGUUUUGAGACAGCUGUGUUUAUCUGAAAAAAGUUUUAAGGACUUGUUUAUGGACCCAGAAAAACUUUUACAAUUUUUAUAACGGGUACAUUUAAAGAAUGUUUUAUAGAAUUAUGCUUAAUCUUGUCUUUUUGUACAAGUCAAAUGUUAUAAAAAUGUUUUUAUUAUUAUUGUUAUAUUGAAUUUGAUAUUAUUUUGUUGAUAAUAGCCAGUGAAGUUGAAAUACCAAUAAUUUCAAAUACAACCAACAGUCUGUCUAUCUGUCUUUCUGCAUUCAUUCUAUCGUUUGUAUCAUUCUUCUGUCUGUCUG